GAAGUGUUUGUUUUUGUUUGUCACCAGGCAGCAGGGAACCCGUCGUCUUUGUUCUGGAGGUCAUGCUGCUAGAGAUGGCAAAUAUUGACAUACAUGAAGGGAGAAAAUUCCUCCUGACUUUCACCAUGUGAAAACCAGCGAGCCAAAUCCACUGCUGGAGUACACAGUAGGAAGAUCACCGGAGUGAGGGGCUUUGUGUGCUGACAGGGAUGAAAGCUCAUGAAAGCAAACCAGGGAUGCUAGUAUGCAAUUACUUUCACACCGCAGUGGAAAGUCUCAGACAUGAUGUUUUCUUGUCAUCUUCCUUAAUUAUGAUUUACAGUUACUAGGAUUGAUUCAAGAGAGCUGUCAGUACGGGAGGAACAGCAGCAGACAUACUCCUUUCUAUCACAGAGUGCUCCAUGAGUUCUAACAUUCACUGAACCAUCAUCUCAUCUGCAGAGAGCAUUGAGCAGUUGGAGCCACAGGCCAUAGGAUCCUAAAAUCCUAGAGUCAUCUAGACUGGAAAAAACCUUCAAGAACAUCUAGUCCAACUAUCAAUCAAAUCCAAUGGAACUGUGCUUUAAUCUGUGUUUCCUUAUAUUAAUCUUCUAGGUGCUUCUGGACUUGGUGCUUUACUUCACUUCUUUUCAGCCUGGAUCUUUCUUUGUGAAGCCUGCAUCUAGAGACAUUUCCUUCACACUGUUCUCUCGUCUGAUGAGAAAUUAGAUAAAUUUUCCUAGACCACCUCAAAUGACCAUUUACCUGUGAUCCAUUAGCACAUGCUGUGGCAGUUAAUCAAUUUUGCCUACUGAAGUGCAGAUACUUAGGAUAGAUGAGGAGGCUGGACCUUCUCCAGGGAGGAAAAAGUAGGAAAGUGAGGAUGAAACAGGAAGCUGAUGUUUAUUAUGUGCUUAGGUGUGGAGUAGACUCCUGGGAAUUAUGAUGUGUGCUACCACUCAGCCACACACAGCACUUCUUCACACAGUUCCUUCAAUACUUUAUUUUUCAUUCCUUAUAGAUCUUUAGGCCAAAUAUUUUCUUCUUUAAAAUAAAAUUUGGAUCUAAAAAUUCAGACACAAAUUCUUUUUAC
This is a long non-coding RNA of Lagopus leucura (white-tailed ptarmigan), 1072 nucleotides long. RefSeq lists it as uncharacterized. Lineage: Eukaryota; Metazoa; Chordata; Aves; Galliformes; Phasianidae. The transcript has 3 exons. The record is from RefSeq and is a predicted model, not a curated record.